RNAcentral lists this long non-coding RNA (632 nucleotides) under Vigna radiata. Its description in RNAcentral is "long non-coding RNA (VRAD_LNC016672)". Lineage: Eukaryota; Viridiplantae; Streptophyta; Magnoliopsida; Fabales; Fabaceae. The record is from RNAcentral.
GAGAAAGCUUUGAAGCUUUAAUAUGCUGCAUUGCUAUUUUAUGCUCUGCUCCAAAUGAAGGCCUGCAGCUCACUUUCCUUUUGGGCUGAUGGAUGCAUGAGAGCUGGAACGUUGCAGGCCUUGAUAUGUUGCUUUUUCUGCCUUCUUCAAAACUGGACGUUGCUAGUGUGAAGGUUGUGGACUGAGGCUGCUGCAAUGUGGGAGCAAGGAGGUGGCGUGCUGCUGUUGCCAACUGGGCCGUGGAGAUGUGUUGCAAGUCUGGACUGCUGCAGCGUUGCUGUAGUGUGGUCCGUGAAGGUGUGGAGCUGUUACGUGAAAAGGUGCUCCAAGGCUGCUGGACACUUGCUUAGGGUACUGCUGCAUGCGUGGAGUUGAAGGAUGCUGGACGACCAAACCCAAGUGCAUAGACCGUGGAUGCUGCAGGUGGGCAGUGAGUGUUGCUAUUGGGCGCACCUCCCUUCAAGUGGGCCUGCUGCCAUGGUGGACUCUGCUGCACCGUGGAGACCACAAAGAAAUCAAGCUACACCUCCUUUUGAAUGCUUCCCAUGCUGGACCGAGCUCAAGAUGAUGGACCGAAUGAGGAUGUUGACGAGCUUGGGUGGCAGCUGCUGGAAGUGUUUGUUGGAUGCGUG